Molecule: long non-coding RNA, 1121 nt
Organism: Lolium rigidum
Lineage: Eukaryota; Viridiplantae; Streptophyta; Magnoliopsida; Poales; Poaceae
Exons: 6
Source: RefSeq, a predicted model, not a curated record
UCCUCCUCCCCAAUCCCCAAACCCCACGUUCUCACUCCUGCCAAUCCGACCAGCGUGUCCCAGAGAAUGGUGGCGGCGCGGAGGGUAACCAGCGAGAAGACGGAGCCGGUACGGACGACCACGGUGGUGGGCGACAGUAGGCCUUGAUGAGCUCCUCCCGGAAGAGGCCGGCGACGCGGAAGGCUCCCUUUUCCAUCUAGGAUCUGGUGGCCGAAUGAGGCAGAGGUGAGUGGAGGAUUCGAGCGCACCCCACGUCUCUGCUCAUCUUCUUCACCUUCACUCACAACUUCCCCGGUAGCGGCGGUGUGAUGACUGGUCUGCACACGGGCGACUUCUCCUCUCCUCUCACCAACAUGAGUUGACGGCGAAGCUAGGGACUGAUCCGCGCGCUGCCCUACUGUCCUCCUUCAUCAAGCUCUCGAUCUGGAGGUGUACAUGUCCAUGAUGGUCUUGACAGUGUUGCUGCUACGGAAGAGCGUCGGCGACUAUUGAAAGCUGCAGAUGAUGUGGAUUGAUUCCAAAUGAAAAUUGCUAGCAAUAAGGUGGGUCUUGUUAUUGGGAAGGGUGAUGACUGAUGAGGCUAUAAAAUCAACACAUUGCCAAUUGUGGAGCUCGUAUACAGGUUUCUACUCUUAUGUAUGCCCAGGGCAAGUAAAAUCAAGUCCCAUUUUGAUUGUGCUAAAUCGGAAGCAUAACCCAAAUUCCUGCUUUUGCCAUUCCUUGCCCCGGGUGAUCCUGCAACUAGAAGAACACUGUAUAUUGAUGCCACAGAAGAGCGAAUCGAAAUCGCAAAGCAGCUCGUUAGUGUGGUUACCAGUGAGUUGCCGCUCCUGAAGAUUUGGGGAAAAGUAGCGGAUGAGAGCUUUGAGAUACUUGAUAGGCUGUCUGUUCUUCCUUUACCUGAAUAUACACCGCUCUAUCUAGGAUCUGGAUGGCACACCAGAAAAUUAAGUUGUAGAUCAAAUAAGAAACAACAUAGAUCUGUCUUGCGUUCCUAGCUAUGUUCCUAAUUCCGAUAGUCCCAUAAUUAAGUAAUUGCUUUUUUGCUUGUCUGCAUAUUGUCAAAACAUCUGUACAAUGCGGAAAAGUUCAAUGGCCAUGCCCAUGUAGCAGCUUUGCUC